This 283-nucleotide long non-coding RNA is filed under the name Vigna radiata. Its description in RNAcentral is "long non-coding RNA (VRAD_LNC014717)". Lineage: Eukaryota; Viridiplantae; Streptophyta; Magnoliopsida; Fabales; Fabaceae. The record is from RNAcentral.
AUCAAAAGGACUUUUCCAAGGCUUGUAAUAAGGUUGGGCUAACAAGAAAGAAUUGGUUUUUCUAGAAUGCAAAAUCCUUGAGUCAAGAGAGCUAUUAAAAUAUUCAACAAUUAAGCACAACUCUCUUCCUUACCAAUCUCUCUCAUUCCCAACUUUUCCCUUUUCUUUUUCUUUUGCAUUGAGCUCUUCAUGCUUUUCUUCUUUUCUUUUCUUUUUCUCAUGAAUUUUUCUUUUCACAGCAUUUGAGCUCAAUGUUUUUCACUUGCUUUUUCAACUUUCCCCC